GUCUUUUUGAGAUAAUUUAAAGUCCAAUCUGCUCACUGAAGAUUUAAAGAGCCGCAGUAUAUUGACUGUGCAAAGGUAGCAUAAUCAAUAGUUUUUUAAUUGAGAACUUGUAUGAAAGAUUAGACGAGAAUUAUAUUUUCUUUGUUUUAAUAAAUUUAAUUUUAAUUUUAAGUGAAAAUGCUUAAAUUUUUUUAAAAGACGAGAAGACCCUAUAGAUUUUUAUUAUUAAAAGUUAAAUUUAGAUUUUUAUUUAGUUUAAAUAAUUUAAUUGGGGCGAUUUUAUAAAAUAAAAAACUUAAAUUUUUAUUACCAUAGAUGAUUGAAUUUUUUGAUCUAAAAAUUUUAAAGAAAAGAUUAAAUUACCUUAGGGAUAACAGCGUAAUUUUAUUUAAGAGUUCAUAUCUAUAAUAAAGUUUGCGACCUCGAUGUUGAAUUAAGAUAAUAUAUUGGAGUAGAAAUUAAUAUAAUUAGUCUGUUCGACUAUUAAAUUCU
Molecule: ribosomal RNA, 492 nt
Filed under: Longivalvus nubilus
Lineage: Eukaryota; Metazoa; Arthropoda; Insecta; Psocodea; Psocidae
Description: partial 16S ribosomal RNA
Rfam family: Bacterial large subunit ribosomal RNA (bases 370-492)
Source: RNAcentral